GCCUGGGUGGCUUAGUUAGUUAAGCAUCUGACUUCAGCUCAGGUCAUGAUCUCAUGCCUCAUGAGUUCAAGCCCCACAUCAGGCU
RNAcentral lists this transfer RNA (85 nucleotides) under Felis catus (domestic cat). It matches the Rfam family "tRNA". From Rfam's summary of the family: Transfer RNA (tRNA) molecules are approximately 80 nucleotides in length. Their secondary structure includes four short double-helical elements and three loops (D, anti-codon, and T loops). The record is from Rfam by way of RNAcentral. Lineage: Eukaryota; Metazoa; Chordata; Mammalia; Carnivora; Felidae. RNAcentral also lists the same sequence under 1 other name.